This 777-nucleotide ribosomal RNA is filed under the name Phaeosphaeriopsis dracaenicola. RNAcentral's name for it is "eukaryotic LSU rRNA". It matches the Rfam family "Eukaryotic large subunit ribosomal RNA", at positions 113 to 909 of the family's 3401-position model. Lineage: Eukaryota; Fungi; Ascomycota; Dothideomycetes; Pleosporales; Phaeosphaeriaceae. The record is from RNAcentral.
AUUUGAAAUCUGGCUCUUUCAGAGUCCGAGUUGUAAUUUGCAGAGGGCGCUUUGGCAUUGGCAGCGGUCUAAGUUCUUUGGAACAGGACGUCACAGAGGGUGAGAAUCCCGUAUGUGAUCGCUAGCCUUUGCUGUGUAAAGCCCCUUCGACGAGUCGAGUUGUUUGGGAAUGCAGCUCUAAAUGGGAGGUAAAUUUCUUCUAAAGCUAAAUACUGGCCAGAGACCGAUAGCGCACAAGUAGAGUGAUCGAAAGAUGAAAAGCACUUUGGAAAGAGAGUCAAAUAGCACGUGAAAUUGUUGAAAGGGAAGCGCUUGCAGCCAGACUUGCCUGUAGUUGCUUAUCUAGACUUUUGUCUAGUGCACUCUUCUGCGGGCAGGCCAGCAUCAGUUUGGGCGGUUGGAUAAAGGUCUCUGUCAUGUACCUCUCUUCGGAGAGGCCUUAUAGGGGAGACGACAUGCAACCAGCCUGGACUGAGGUCCGCGCAUCUGCUAGGAUGCUGGCGUAAUGGCUGUAAGCGGCCCGUCUUGAAACACGGACCAAGGAGUCUAACAUCUAUGCGAGUAUUUGGGUGUCAAGCCCAGAUGCGUAAUGAAAGUGAACGGAGGUGGGAACCCUUUGGGUGCACCAUCGACCGAUCCUGAUGUCUUCGGAUGGAUUUGAGUAAGAGCAUGGCUGUUGGGACCCGAAAGAUGGUGAACUAUGCUUGAAUAGGGUGAAGCCAGAGGAAACUCUGGUGGAGGCUCGCAGCGGUUCUGACGUGCAAAUCGAUCGUCAAA